ACGGGGUGCAGCAGGCGCGAAACCUCCGCAAUACACGAAAGUGUGACGGGGUUACCCAAAGUGUUCUAUUUAGAACUGUGGUAGGUGAGUAAUGUCCCCUACUAGAAAGGAGAGGGCAAGGCUGGUGCCAGCCGCCGCGGUAAAACCAGCUCUUCAAGUGGUCGGGAUAAUUAUUGGGCUUAAAGUGUCCGUAGCCGGUUUAGUAAGUUCCUGGUAAAAUCGGGUAGCUUAACUAUCUAUAUGCUAGGAAUACUACUAUACUAGAGGGCGGGAGAGGUCUGAGGUACUACAGGGGUAGGGGUGAAAUCUUAUAAUCCUUGUAGGACCACCAGUGGCGAAGGCGUCAGACUGGAACGCGCCUGACGGUGAGGGACGAAAGCCAGGGGAGCGAACCGGAUUAGAUACCCGGGUAGUCCUGGCCGUAAACGAUGCAUACUAGGUGAUGGCAUGGCCAUGAGCCAUGUCAGUGCCGUAGGGAAACCGUUAAGUGUGCCGCCUGGGAAGUACGGUCGCAAGGCUAAAACUUAAAGGAAUUGGCGGGGGAGCACCACAAGGGG
This 557-nucleotide ribosomal RNA is filed under the name uncultured archaeon. RNAcentral describes it as "bacterial SSU rRNA". It matches the Rfam family "Archaeal small subunit ribosomal RNA", at positions 325 to 888 of the family's 1478-position model. The record is from RNAcentral.